Molecule: long non-coding RNA, 474 nt
Organism: Sarcophilus harrisii (Tasmanian devil)
Lineage: Eukaryota; Metazoa; Chordata; Mammalia; Dasyuromorphia; Dasyuridae
Exons: 4
Source: RefSeq, a predicted model, not a curated record
AGGUGUCAUCAUCAUAUUUGUCUUAUAAAAGAAGUUUGAUGGUGGUGCAAUAGGAGCCCAGGAAAGCAGCUGGAGGAGUCAGAAAAGAGGAAGAGUGAUGCCAUAGGAAAAUAUUGGACUUGGAAUUUGAUGCAGGAGUGCUGGACCUGAAUUCUGUCUCUGACCCAUCUCAGCUAUGGACCAGAAGAUAAUGGAGACAUCUCUUCUGAUAGAGAAAUGUGCAAGCUGUGUUUUCAAUUCUAGAGCUUGACAAAUGGAAAGUGUGGACAGAGUGUUCUGAGAGAUUCAAACCACUCUUUGGCUCAUUGUUCAAUUGCAUAUGUGUCUAUAUGUUUAUUCACAAUUCAUCUCUGAGUGUUUUCAAAUAUUUUGUAAUGUUUAUGACAUCAUUUGGUUCUUCUAAGGUCUACAUAACUCUGAUGCUUCAGUCUUCAAAAACUGACCAAAGGAUUAAAUAAAGCCACCAUUUUAUUU